UGAAGCCAGUGGGACUUAUCCUGAUUAAGUCUCUUACUGAACUAGGGUGAAAGUGAGAGACGGAUAAUCCUGAGCAACCUUCAAGUCUGGCAAGCAGGCACCGAGACUGGUUCAGCCAGUGAAAUAUGAAUAACAGCUCCCCAGCUAGUUAUGUCUAUAAGCACAAUCUCAAAUGGUGCCAAUAUCUUUAUUUAGCAGAUGAAUCAUACUGGAGAAAUGCACUCUGCUAAAGCAGGUAGCUAUGUGUAAUCUAAAAUAGCAAAAACACAAGUUUAUUCCAUUCAAUACCUCUGCUUUAUGCUUUCUUCUCUUAAGCUCUGAAGUUUGUGAGUACUCUGUUUUAUGUUGGUUUUACAUCGCAAAGGGACCUGCUGCUGGCCAGAGCCGAGCCUGUGAGUGAUGCUGGUUGCGCCUCUGUCAGAUCAUAGUUAAGAAAGGCCUGUGUCACAGCAGCUGGGAGAGCAAGGAGUGAGAACCAGCCCUGCAGCCCUCAAGGUCAGUGCAGGAGGGCAGGAGGUGCUCCAGGCACACAGCAGCAGUUCCCUUGCGGCCUGUGGAGAGGCCCCUGGUGGAGCAGGCUGUCCCCCUGCAGCCCAUGGGUCCCACACGGAGCAGAUCUCCACGCUGCAGCCCGUGGAGGAGCCCCCGGUGGAGCAGGUGGAUGUGGCCUGGAGGAGGCUGCGGCCCAUGGAGAGCCCCCGCAGGAGCAGGCCCCGGGCCGGAGCUGCAGCCCGUGGAGAGGAGCCCACGCAGGAGCAGGGGGUCUGGGGGGAGCUGCCGCCCGUGGGGGACCCGUGCUGGAGCAGUUUGCUCCUGGGGGAUGGACCCCGUGGCACGGAGCCGUGUGGGAGCAGUUCUUGAAGAGCUGCUGCCUGUGGGAAGCCCCUGCAGGAUCAGUUUGGGAAGUGGUUGUUGGUUGUUUUUGUUUGUUUGUUCUUUCCUUGGCGGGGUGCAUCUCCUAGCAGCCGGUGGUUACGGAUCCAUGCAAUGUUUGGGCAUGCUAUGUUCUGGCGGGGGAAGCCCUGCUUGUGAAGUGGCACGGAAAGUCAGCUGCAGGGUUUUGGCCUUGCCAGGAGCUUUCACUGACUGCAGGCACUUACUUACUUAUUCUGUAUGCCGGAUUCAGCUGCCUGCAUUGCUUCAGAGCUGGGGAAAAUAUUCUGCAGACUUUAUUGUAUACAGGAAAUGCAGCGAAUAGUGCUCCCUGCUUCAGUUGCCAUAGCAGUAACAGUGCAGUGCCUCUUUAAGGUGUGCUGACUCCUGACAACAUUCUUAAGUGCUGAGCCACCAAAAUGUCCUUCUGAGCAGGAUAAACGUGGAUUGGGAGAAUGAAUUAAGUGAUACAGUGCUUUAAAUGCCAGCUGAAGAACACACUGCAUAUACCGUUUGGCUUGUAGUGUUACUAUGACAAUCUGGGUGAAGUAUUUAUGUAUAGUAUAUGGAUUUUGUGUAUUAGCAUCAGACUACAAACUCCAUUUUGAAUGUGAGGUUUUUCUUCUGCUUUUGUUUUCAUACUGAGCUAAAUUCAGGGGAGGUGACAGAAGAAGAUCUUGUACUUGGCAUGGAACUAACAAUAGGGGACAGUCUAAUUUUUAUCUCUUCAGAUUAAGUAUGCUUUGGAGAGGAAAAAAGGCUAUUGCCCUUCACCAGUCCAGGCAGACAGCUUAUCACCUGGCACGAAGCUGUUAUCUCUAGUCAGGAGAAUUUCUGAUUAGCCAUUAUAGGUCAACUGGAAAGUUUUCCCAGCCGUAUUUUUGCCAAUAGCAAAAUGAAGAUGUGAUGAGUGUAUAUACAUUCUGCCUUUGGCUUAAUUUGAUGCUUGUGGGUAACAGUUGGACCCUGCUGAUGGACUUCAGUUUGUGUGAGUGCUUGGAGUUCAUUGCACAAGCACUGGAGAGCUGCUGCUGUGCGUACCGGUGCGUGUGAAGACAUGCUCUGACACUUCCCCUGUGGUGCUGAUGGUACUGUUCUGUGCUAACCUAUCAUACAGGUCUCUCUUUACUAAUUUUCAUUGCCGUGGCAACAGAUUACAAAGCACUGGAUCUUUCCUGUAUAAGGAAGUUUAGGUAGAGUGUCCUCUGCACCGAGUCAAGGGCUCUGACUUAAAGAACUAGAACUCAGAGCAUGAUCAAAAGUAGGUUGGGAACUGAAGCAAGGAAAUGCAUUUGUAUUUUUGCCUGUUUUCAGACCAAAAGUUG
RNAcentral lists this long non-coding RNA (2198 nucleotides) under Anser brachyrhynchus (Pink-footed goose). RNAcentral describes it as "lncRNA (ENSABRG00000014497.1)". Lineage: Eukaryota; Metazoa; Chordata; Aves; Anseriformes; Anatidae. The record is from RNAcentral.